AGUGAACGCUGGCGGUAGGCCUAACACAUGCAAGUCGAACGGCAGCACAGAGGAGCUUGCUCCUUGGGUGGCGAGUGGCGGACGGGUGAGGAAUACAUCGGAAUCUACUCUGUCGUGGGGGAUAACGUAGGGAAACUUACGCUAAUACCGCAUACGACCUACGGGUGAAAGCAGGGGACCUUCGGGCCUUGCGCGAUUGAAUGAGCCGAUGUCGGAUUAGCUAGUUGGCGGGGUAAAGGCCCACCAAGGCGACGAUCCUGAGCUGGUCUGAGAGGAUGGUCGGCCACACUGGAACUGGGACACGGGCCAGACUCCUACGGGAGGGAGCAGUGGGGAAUAUUGGACAGUGGGCGCAAGGCUGAUCCAGCCAUACCGCGUGGGUGAAGGAGGCCUUCGGGUUGUAAAGCCCUUUCGUUGGGAAAGAAAUCCAGCUGGCUAAUACCCGGUUGGGAUGACGGUACCCAAAGAAUAAGCACCGGCUAACUUCGUGCCAGCCGCCGCAGUAA
Molecule: ribosomal RNA, 506 nt
Filed under: uncultured bacterium
Lineage: Bacteria
Description: partial 16S ribosomal RNA
Rfam family: Bacterial small subunit ribosomal RNA
Source: RNAcentral